CAGUAGCCACGGGAAUACGAAGGGGGCUAGCGUUGUUCGGAAUUACUGGGCGUAAAGCGCACGUAGGCGGAUAUUUAAGUCAGGGGUGAAAUCCCAGAGCUCAACUCUGGAACUGCCUUUGAUACUGGGUAUCUUGAGUAUGGAAGAGGUGAGUGGAAUUCCGAGUGUAGAGGUGAAAUUCGUAGAUAUUCGGAGGAACACCAGUGGCGAAGGCGGCUCACUGGUCCAUUACUGACGCUGAGGUGCGAAAGCGUGGGGAGCAAACAGGAUUAGAGACCCCUGUAGUCCCUGUCUCUUAUAC
RNAcentral lists this ribosomal RNA (301 nucleotides) under uncultured bacterium. Its description in RNAcentral is "partial 16S ribosomal RNA". It matches the Rfam family "Bacterial small subunit ribosomal RNA", at positions 509 to 807 of the family's 1533-position model. The record is from RNAcentral.